AACGAACGCUGGCGGCAGGCCUAACACAUGCAAGUCGAGCGAGGACUUCGGUCCUAGCGGCGGACGGGUGAGUAACGCGUGGGAACGUGCCCUUUGCUUCGGAAUAGCCCUGGGAAACUGGGAGUAAUACCGGAUGAGCCCUUUGGGGGAAAGAUUUAUCGGCGAAGGAUCGGCCCGCGUUGGAUUAGGUAGUUGGUGGGGUAAUGGCCUACCAAGCCGACGAUCCAUAGCUGGUUUGAGAGGAUGAUCAGCCACACUGGGACUGAGACACGGCCCAGAAUCCUACGGGAGGGAGGAGUGGGGGAUCUUAGACAAUGGGGGGAACCCUGAUCUAGCCAUGGCGCGUGAGCGAUGAAGGCCUUAGGGUUGUAAAGCUCUUUCAGCUGGGAAGAUAAUGACGGUACCAGCAGAAGAAGCCCCGGCUAACUCCGUG
This 433-nucleotide ribosomal RNA is filed under the name uncultured bacterium. RNAcentral's name for it is "partial 16S ribosomal RNA". It matches the Rfam family "Bacterial small subunit ribosomal RNA", at positions 29 to 507 of the family's 1533-position model. The record is from RNAcentral.